RNAcentral lists this ribosomal RNA (257 nucleotides) under uncultured prokaryote. RNAcentral's name for it is "partial 16S ribosomal RNA". It matches the Rfam family "Bacterial small subunit ribosomal RNA", at positions 524 to 780 of the family's 1533-position model. The record is from RNAcentral.
UACGGAGGAUGCAAGCGUUAUCCGGAUUCAUUGGGUUUAAAGGGUGCGUAGGCGGACUAUUAAGUCAGUGGUGAAAGCCUGCAGCUUAACUGCAGAACUGCCAUUGAUACUGAUAGUCUUGAGUUUGGUUAAGGUAGGCGGAAUGUGUAAUGUAGCGGUGAAAUGCUUAGAUAUUACACAGAACACCAAUUGCGUAGGCAGCUUACUGAGUCGACACUGACGCUGAGGCACGAAAACGUGGGGAUCGAACAGGAUUA